RNAcentral lists this ribosomal RNA (52 nucleotides) under Cylindrocladiella lanceolata. RNAcentral describes it as "partial 28S ribosomal RNA". The record is from RNAcentral. Lineage: Eukaryota; Fungi; Ascomycota; Sordariomycetes; Hypocreales; Nectriaceae.
UUUGACCUCGAAUCANGUAGGAUUACCCGCUGAACUUAAGCAUAUCAAUAAG